AUACAUCGGAAUCUACCUUUUCGUGGGGGAUAACGUAGGGAAACUUACGCUAAUACCGCAUACGACCUUCGGGUGAAAGCAGGGGACCUUCGGGCCUUGCGCGGAUAGAUGAGCCGAUGUCGGAUUAGCUAGUUGGCGGGGUAAAGGCCCACCAAGGCGACGAUCCGUAGCUAGUCUGAGAGGAUGAUCAGCCACACUGGAACUGAGACACGGUCCAGACUCCUACGGGAGGCAGCAGUGGGGAAUAUUGGACAAUGGGCGCAAGCCUGAUCCAGCCAUACCGCGUGGGUGAAGAAGGCCCUCGGGUUGUAAAGCCCUUUUGUUGGGAAAGAAAAGCAGUCGGCUAAUACCCGGUUGUUCUGACGGUACCCAAAGAAUAAGCACCGGCUAACUUCGUGCCAGCAGCCGCGGUAAUACGAAGGGUGCAAGCGUUACUCGGAAUUACUGGGCGUAAAGCGUGCGUAGGUGGUUGUUUAAGUCUGUUGUGAAAGCCCUGGGCUCAACCUGGGAAUUGCAGUGGAUACUGGGCGACUAGAGUGUGGUAGAGGGUAGUGGAAUUCCCGGUGUAGCAGUGAAAUGCGUAGAGAUCGGGAGGAACAUCCAUGGCGAAGGCAGCUACCUGGACCAACACUGACACUGAGGCACGAAAGCGUG
This 654-nucleotide ribosomal RNA is filed under the name uncultured Gammaproteobacteria bacterium. Its description in RNAcentral is "bacterial SSU rRNA". It matches the Rfam family "Bacterial small subunit ribosomal RNA", at positions 113 to 763 of the family's 1533-position model. Lineage: Bacteria; Pseudomonadati; Pseudomonadota; Gammaproteobacteria. The record is from RNAcentral.